This 753-nucleotide ribosomal RNA is filed under the name bacterium enrichment culture clone Dan60S_15E. RNAcentral's name for it is "bacterial SSU rRNA". It matches the Rfam family "Bacterial small subunit ribosomal RNA", at positions 8 to 775 of the family's 1533-position model. The record is from RNAcentral.
AGAGUUUGAUUCUGGCUCAGGGUAAACGCUGGCGGCGUGCGUAACACAUGCAAGUCGGACGGGUUAUACAUCUUCGGAUGUAUAAUCAGUGGCGAACGGGUGAGUAAAAGGUAGGGACCUACCCCGAGGACAGAGAUAGCUACUGGAAACGGUAGGUAAACUCUGAUAAGCCCGAGAGGGGAAAGUGGGAGUCAGCCUUGGGAUGGACCUACUAUCCAUCAGGUAGUUGGUGAGGUAAAGGCUUACCAAGCCGAUGACGGAUAACCGGUGUGAGAGCAUGUACGGUCACAAGGGCACUGAGACACGGGCCCUACUCCUACGGGAGGCAGCAGUGGGGAAUAUUGGACAAUGGGCGAAAGCCUGAUCCAGCGACGCCGCGUGAAGGAAGAAGUCCUUCGGGAUGUAAACUUCUGAACUAAUCGAAUAAAAGGGUAGUGGACACACUACAGAAGAAGGUAGAUUAGGAAAAGUCCCGGCUAACUACGUGCCAGCAGCCGCGGUAAGACGUAGGGGGCGAGCGUUGCCCGGAAUCACUGGGUGUAAAGGGGACGUAGGCGGAUGAUCAAGUCAUCUGUGAAAAGAUUGCUCAACGAUUGGCUUGCGGAUGAAACUGGUCAUCUUGGGCGUAGCAGAGGUAGACGGAAUUACCUGAGUAGGGGUGAAAUCCGCAGAUACAGGUAAGAAGGCCGGUGAAGAAGUUGGUCUACUGGGCUACAGCUGACGCUGAGGUCCGAAAGCCAGGGGAGCGAACCG